Long non-coding RNA from Helianthus annuus (common sunflower), 595 nucleotides. RefSeq lists it as uncharacterized. The transcript is spliced from 4 exons. The record is from RefSeq and is a predicted model, not a curated record. NCBI's taxonomy places the organism in Eukaryota, Viridiplantae, Streptophyta, Magnoliopsida, Asterales, Asteraceae.
UUUGGGGAUGUGGGCCGCAUUCUUCUGGGACGGUUAUACCUUUUGAGACGAAGGGUUUAUCUUCUCAGUCUCUCUGCCACGAACGACAAUAAUCUUCGCUGAGAUCCUCCUCCUUCCCAAAUUAGACUAGAUCAGAGCUCCUUUGUCUUCCGAAGCAUCUUCCAAAGGCGCCGCAUUUGGAUUACAACAGUGAUUUUCCAUUCUUCCCGGCACACCUCGGCGAAUUUCUGUCGUCCAGCGUAAAGAAACACUGUUACUCCCAAAACCAUAGCCACAGUCCACUUGAUUGAGUUAGCUGUAUCUUCUCAAAUCUUCAGCUUUAAAUUCAUUCAACAACCCAUAUAAGUUAAAAAUUUAAGAAUUAUAGUUUCGUCAACUCUUCAUUCUAUCACCAAUUUAAAGAUGGAUCGUACUUACGGGAUGUACCAUACCACACGUACAAGCUCGACAUAUACGGAUGGCGUUCGAAAUUUUCUUAGGGUUGCUGAAACACAUCGGUUGAAUAGUGGAAGUGGAUUGAUUUGUUGCCCUUGUACAAUUUGUAAAAAUUUCCAAAGAUUUAAUGAUAUCAAAGACAUACAGUUUCAUUUAAUUA